UGCUCAAGUACCCACACAGGCAGAAAUGAGCAAAGCUUUGUAGGGUGCACUGGAGUGCCAGGCUGCCUGAAGAGGAGUGAAAAACAAGCAGGUCUCCGGAUAUUAAGUGUCCUUAGACAGAUCUUAUAUGAGUGACACCAGCAGAAAAAGAAACAACAGUGACCAUCUUAUUGAGGUCUCAUGUUCCCUUUGGUAAAACUCCAUUUUUUACCCAGCGCUGCAAAUAUUACUAUUAUUCCUGCUUUUUGGAAGAGAACCGAAUUGCAUUUAUUUCUGGAGCAGAACUGGAGAAAGGAAACUGCAAAGCCACUAAUGGACCACAUUACAGCAUGCUCGCAGCACUUGCCAUUAUUAAUUAGAGUGGAAUAGAGGCAUGACAUCCUUGUCUUCAUCCUCAUUUUGCUACUGGUAACUCCACUCCUAUGAAAUAGGAUAGAAUUAUUCACUUGAUUUCAACAGCCACUGCAUUCCUGCCUAUUGAAAAUAAACUGCUUGCUUAUUCAGUGAGACCAAAUAUCAUGGUCUUCCAGCAAUGCUUAAAUGACUUUGUAUUUGUCACACCUAUUUCAUUACAGAUAGUUGUUUAUCUGAUUUGUAACGAUGUAUUAAAAAAAUAUUUGUUGGACUUAAUAUGAAAAAUAAGGUUGAAAUUCAGCUAUGGUUGUUGAUAUGAAAUAUACAUACGCAAACUCAAAACGUUAAUGAAUAAAUCUUGUAUAACUUCAGCUAAUAAUACAGGUGGAAUAAAUUACUACUUGUC
Molecule: long non-coding RNA, 760 nt
Organism: Cuculus canorus (common cuckoo)
Lineage: Eukaryota; Metazoa; Chordata; Aves; Cuculiformes; Cuculidae
Exons: 3
Source: RefSeq, a predicted model, not a curated record